Molecule: ribosomal RNA, 136 nt
Filed under: uncultured Trebouxiophyceae
Lineage: Eukaryota; Viridiplantae; Chlorophyta; Trebouxiophyceae
Description: partial small subunit ribosomal RNA
Rfam family: Eukaryotic small subunit ribosomal RNA
Source: RNAcentral
CGCCCGUCGCUCCUACCGAUUGGGUGUGCUGGUGAAGUGUUCGGAUUGGCGACCGGGGGCGGUUUCCGCCCUCGGCCGCCGAGAAGUUCAUUAAAACCUCCCACCUAGAGGAAGGAGAAGUCGUAACAAGGUUUCC